Molecule: small nuclear RNA, 117 nt
Organism: Physeter macrocephalus (sperm whale)
Lineage: Eukaryota; Metazoa; Chordata; Mammalia; Artiodactyla; Physeteridae
Gene: U5
Rfam family: U5 spliceosomal RNA
About the family: U5 RNA is a component of both types of known spliceosome. The precise function of this molecule is unknown, though it is known that the 5' loop is required for splice site selection and p220 binding, and that both the 3' stem-loop and the Sm site are important for Sm protein binding and cap methylation.
Source: Ensembl
AUACUCUGAUUUCUCUUCAGAUAGAAUAAAUCUUUUGCCUAUUUACUAAAGAUUUCCGUGAAGAGAACUAAGUCUGAGUGUUCAACAAAUUUUUUGAAGCCUUGCUUUGGCAGGGCU